This 553-nucleotide ribosomal RNA is filed under the name Arthrobacter sp. RNAcentral describes it as "bacterial SSU rRNA". It matches the Rfam family "Bacterial small subunit ribosomal RNA", at positions 438 to 1000 of the family's 1533-position model. The record is from RNAcentral. Lineage: Bacteria; Bacillati; Actinomycetota; Actinomycetes; Micrococcales; Micrococcaceae.
AGUAGGGAAGAAGCGAAAGUGACGGUACCUGCAGAAGAAGCGCCGGCUAACUACGUGCCAGCAGCCGCGGUAAUACGUAGGGCGCAAGCGUUAUCCGGAAUUAUUGGGCGUAAAGAGCUCGUAGGCGGUUUGUCGCGUCUGCCGUGAAAGUCCGGGGCUCAACUCCGGAUCUGCGGUGGGUACGGGCAGACUAGAGUGAUGUAGGGGAGACUGGAAUUCCUGGUGUAGCGGUGAAAUGCGCAGAUAUCAGGAGGAACACCGAUGGCGAAGGCAGGUCUCUGGGCAUUAACUGACGCUGAGGAGCGAAAGCAUGGGGAGCGAACAGGAUUAGAUACCCUGGUAGUCCAUGCCGUAAACGUUGGGCACUAGGUGUGGGGGACAUUCCACGUUUUCCGCGCCGUAGCUAACGCAUUAAGUGCCCCGCCUGGGGAGUACGGCCGCAAGGCUAAAACUCAAAGGAAUUGACGGGGGCCCGCACAAGCGGCGGAGCAUGCGGAUUAAUUCGAUGCAACGCGAAGAACCUUACCAAGGCUUGACAUGAACCGGUAAGACC